This 228-nucleotide RNase MRP RNA is filed under the name Pseudo-nitzschia fraudulenta. Its description in RNAcentral is "partial RNase MRP". It matches the Rfam family "RNase MRP". From Rfam's summary of the family: RNase MRP is an enzymatically active ribonucleoprotein with two distinct roles in eukaryotes. In mitochondria it plays a direct role in the initiation of mitochondrial DNA replication. Lineage: Eukaryota; Bacillariophyta; Bacillariophyceae; Bacillariales; Bacillariaceae. The record is from RNAcentral.
AGCACGGCUUCGCAGCGCUCAACCGGGGAGCUUGCUCCCAUUCACGCUGCGGGGAAAGUCCCCGUGCCUUGGGGCAGAGAGUGUCAGCGGGAGACCGCAGGGCGUUGGCUUGCUUGCAGGCAGUGAAACCUUUGGUGGAUUUGCAGCAGCAGGCUUGGGCCUUUCGCAGCAGCACAGGCAUGCCGUGAGCGCUCCCAUGAGGGCGCCAACUGAACGGGGCUCACUCUC